RNAcentral lists this ribosomal RNA (254 nucleotides) under uncultured bacterium. Its description in RNAcentral is "partial 16S ribosomal RNA". It matches the Rfam family "Bacterial small subunit ribosomal RNA", at positions 524 to 777 of the family's 1533-position model. The record is from RNAcentral.
UACGGGGGGGGCAAGCGUUGUUCGGAAUUACUGGGCGUAAAGGGCUCGUAGGCGGCCAACUAAGUCGGAUGUGAAAUCCCCAGGCUCAACCUGGGAACUGCAUCCGAUACUGGAUGGCUUGAAUUCGGGAGAGGGAUGCAGAAUUCCAGGUGUAGCGGUGAAAUGCGUAGAUAUCUGGAGGAAUACCGGUGGCGAAGGCGGCAUCCUGGACCGACAUUGACGCUGAGGAGCGGAAGCCAGGGGAGCAAAGCGGG